AAAAAAAAAAUAAGAAAAAAAAAGAAAAAAGAUCUAAUAAAGAACAUACCCAACGAAUGAGGCCCCCUGCUUUAUGUGGGUCAGGAAACAAGUGAAUAAGGAGUCUAUUAGUCAAAAAUCUCUUGUACAGUUCUAUACUACAAGCCAACUACCAUGCAUGGCUAAGCAAUUGUAAACCAUGAACACUACUAAGUCUCUAAGGGAUACUCAGUUUCACGAGUCAAACUGUAACAACUGAUAGUGCAGCAAGCAAAAGAAUGCUAUAUUUUAAAACCCAAAUAAUUAGUU
Molecule: unclassified non-coding RNA, 288 nt
Filed under: Hevea brasiliensis (rubber tree)
Lineage: Eukaryota; Viridiplantae; Streptophyta; Magnoliopsida; Malpighiales; Euphorbiaceae
Source: RNAcentral